GCCUACGGGGGGCAGCAGUGAGGAAUAUUGGUCAAUGGGCGAGAGCCUGAACCAGCCAAGUCGCGUGAGGGAAGACGGUCCUAUGGAUUGUAAACCUCUUUUGCCGGGGAGCAAAAAGCGGUACGUGUACCGCAUCGAGAGUACCCGGAGAAAAAGCAUCGGCUAACUCCGUGCCAGCAGCCGCGGUAAUACGGAGGAUGCGAGCGUUAUCCGGAUUUAUUGGGUUUAAAGGGUGCGUAGGCGGAAUGCCAAGUCAGCGGGAAAAUCGCGGGGCUCAACCCCGCCCCGCCGUUCGA
This 296-nucleotide ribosomal RNA is filed under the name uncultured bacterium. RNAcentral describes it as "partial 16S ribosomal RNA". It matches the Rfam family "Bacterial small subunit ribosomal RNA", at positions 337 to 630 of the family's 1533-position model. The record is from RNAcentral.